AUUGAACGCUGGCGGCAUGCUUUACACAUGCAAGUCGAACGGUAACAGGCCGCAAGGUGCUGACGAGUGGCGAACGGGUGAGUAAUGCAUCGGAACGUGCCCAGUCGUGGGGGAUAACUACUCGAAGGAGUAGCUAAUACCGCAUACGAUCUAUGGAUGAAAGCGGGGGACCGUAAGGCCUCGCGCGAUUGGAGCGGCCGAUGUCAGAUUAGGUAGUUGGUGGGGUAAAGGCUCACCAAGCCAACGAUCUGUAGCUGGUCUGAGAGGACGACCAGCCACACUGGGACUGAGACACGGCCCAGACUCCUACGGGAGGCAGCAGUGGGGAAUUUUGGACAAUGGGCGCAAGCCUGAUCCAGCAAUGCCGCGUGCAGGAAGAGGGCCUUCGGGUUGUAAACUGCUUUUGUACGGAACGAAACGGCUCUGGUUAAUACCCGGGGCUAAUGACGGUACCGUAAGAAUAAGCACCGGCUAACUACGUG
This 482-nucleotide ribosomal RNA is filed under the name uncultured bacterium. RNAcentral's name for it is "partial 16S ribosomal RNA". It matches the Rfam family "Bacterial small subunit ribosomal RNA", at positions 30 to 507 of the family's 1533-position model. The record is from RNAcentral.